RNAcentral lists this small nuclear RNA (112 nucleotides) under Chelonia mydas (Green sea turtle). RNAcentral's name for it is "U5 spliceosomal RNA". It matches the Rfam family "U5 spliceosomal RNA". From Rfam's summary of the family: U5 RNA is a component of both types of known spliceosome. The precise function of this molecule is unknown, though it is known that the 5' loop is required for splice site selection and p220 binding, and that both the 3' stem-loop and the Sm site are important for Sm protein binding and cap methylation. The record is from Rfam by way of RNAcentral. Lineage: Eukaryota; Metazoa; Chordata; Testudines; Cheloniidae.
UGUUUCUGCCUUCAAAUCAUAUAAAUCUUUCGCCUUUUACUAAAGAUUUCCAUGGAGAGGAACAUUUACGAGUUUCUACCCAAUUUUUUUUGUUUGUUUACUAUAUACAUAC